Molecule: ribosomal RNA, 145 nt
Filed under: Fusarium sp. 08023
Lineage: Eukaryota; Fungi; Ascomycota; Sordariomycetes; Hypocreales; Nectriaceae
Description: partial 18S ribosomal RNA
Rfam family: Eukaryotic small subunit ribosomal RNA
Source: RNAcentral
UGAAUGGCUCAGUGAGGCGUUCGGACUGGCCCAGAGAGGUGGGCAACUACCACUCAGGGCCGGAAAGUUCUCCCAAACUCGGUCAUUUAGAGGAAGUAAAAGUCGUAACAAGGUCUCCGUUGGUGAACCAGCGGAGGGAUCAUUA